ACUGGCCCAGCGUGCAGGGAGGAGCCGGACGGGCUAUGCUACGCGGGGGCGCAACCACCCCAACCUCGUAGUUAUUCUAAAGUGCAUCUGGAAGAAUAAACAAAUGAUAAUGAAAGAAAAGGAAGGAAGGGAGAAAGAAGGAAGAACGGGCUUCUAACAAGAAGAGUAAUAAGACUCUACUGAACCUCACACUUGCUGGAUUUUAUGAAGUAAACAGCCAUUCAGAGAGGUCAUAUGCCAAGGAACUGAGGAUACCUCUGGCUGGUAACCCACAAGCACAAGGAACAAAUCCUGCAACAGUGACGUUAGCUUGGUAUCCUUUCCCAGAGGAGCCUCAGAUGAGCCACACCCAGGACUCAGUUACCCAAUGUACACUGGGACCUAGAUUACAGCUGAGGACCUCUAUACCCAUCAAGAUCAUAAUAAAAUUAGAGGUAUGUGAUUUACUUAACAAAUACUGGGGGAUUUUCUAGAGAUGUUUCGGUUAUUGAUUUCUAAUUUAAUAACAUGUGAUUAGAGAACAUACUUUGUAUGCCUUGAAUGCUUUUGAAUUUAUUGAGAUUUGUUUAUGGCCCACCCAGAAUAUGGUGUAUUUUGAUGAAUGUUCCAUGACCACUUGAAAAGAAUUACAUUCUGCUGUUGUUAGGUCAAAUGGUCUAUCAUUGUCAGUUAGGUCAUGUUCCUUGAUAGUGUUGUUCAAGUCUACUAUAUCCUUUCUAAUUUUCUGCCUACUUGUUCUAUCAAGAGUUGAAAGGGGAAUAUAUUGAAAUCUCUAACUGUAAUUGUGAAUUUGUUGAUUUCUCCUUGCUGUUUUUCAGUUUUGCUUCAUGUAUUUUGAAGUUUUGUUAUAAGGUGCAUAAACAUUUAAGAUUGUUAUGUCCU
Molecule: long non-coding RNA, 882 nt
Filed under: Monodon monoceros (narwhal)
Lineage: Eukaryota; Metazoa; Chordata; Mammalia; Artiodactyla; Monodontidae
Description: lncRNA (ENSMMNG00015009793.1)
Source: RNAcentral